CGGGAUGUAGUAUAACGGUAGUACGCGCCCAUGGGGUGGGUGUAGCCCGAGUUCGACUCUCGGCAUCCCGACCA
Molecule: transfer RNA, 74 nt
Filed under: Candidatus Peregrinibacteria bacterium CG11_big_fil_rev_8_21_14_0_20_46_8
Lineage: Bacteria; Candidatus Peregrinibacteriota
Description: tRNA-Pro
Rfam family: tRNA
About the family: Transfer RNA (tRNA) molecules are approximately 80 nucleotides in length. Their secondary structure includes four short double-helical elements and three loops (D, anti-codon, and T loops).
Source: RNAcentral